RNAcentral lists this ribosomal RNA (436 nucleotides) under Bacteroidetes bacterium SCGC AAA024-P05. Its description in RNAcentral is "bacterial SSU rRNA". It matches the Rfam family "Bacterial small subunit ribosomal RNA", at positions 354 to 786 of the family's 1533-position model. Lineage: Bacteria; Pseudomonadati; Bacteroidota. The record is from RNAcentral.
GUAAGGAAUAUUUGGACAAUGGGCGAAAGCCUGAUCCAGCCAUGCCGCGUGAAGGAUUAAGGUCCUCUGGAUUGUAAACUUCUUUUAUUUGGGACGAAAAAAGGGAAUUCUUUCCCACUUGACGGUACCAGAUGAAUAAGCACCGGCUAACUCCGUGCCAGCAGCCGCGGUAAUACGGAGGGUGCAAGCGUUAUCCGGAUUCACUGGGUUUAAAGGGUGCGUAGGCGGGUAGGUAAGUCAGUGGUGAAAUCCUGGAGCUCAACUCCAGAACUGCCAUUGAUACUAUCUAUCUUGAAUAUUGUGGAGGUAAGCGGAAUAUGUCAUGUAGCGGUGAAAUGCUUAGAUAUGACAUAGAACACCCAUUGCGAAGGCAGCUUACUACGCAUAUAUUGACGCUGAGGCACGAAAGCGUGGGGAUCAAACAGGAUUAGAUACC